GAUGAAGAACGUAGCGAAAUGCGAUACUUGGUGUGAAUUGCAGAAUCCCGUGAACCAUCGAGUCUUUGAACGCAAGUUGCGCCCGAAGCCACUAGGCCGAGGGCACGCCUGCCUGGGCGUCACACGCCGUUGCCCCCCCAUCUACUCCCUCGGGAUUGCGGGGGGGCGGAUGAUGGCCUCCCGUGCGCCUAGCCGCGCGGUUGGCAUAAAUACCAAGUCCUCGGCGACGCACGCCACGACAAUCGGUGGUUGCGAAACCUCGGUUGCCCGUCGUGUGCGUUCGUCGCGCAUCGAGGGCUCGAAAAAAUGCUCGGCUCCGGCUGGGCUUUCAACGCGACCCCAGGUCAGGCGGGGUUACCCGCUGAAUUUAAGCAUAUCAAUAAGCGGAGGA
RNAcentral lists this unclassified non-coding RNA (391 nucleotides) under soil metagenome. Its description in RNAcentral is "partial contains 5.8S ribosomal RNA, internal transcribed spacer 2, and large subunit ribosomal RNA". The stretch from base 1 to 122 matches the Rfam family "5.8S ribosomal RNA", at positions 35 to 154 of the family's 154-position model. The record is from RNAcentral.